AUAAGCCCUUCUAGACCUGGCUACAAAUAUUAAACCUUGCCCAAACCAACAACCAUUUCAUUCGUUGGACUCCAAGCGUAGUGCAGUAGCAUUUUUCCAAAAGAGAAAAUGAAGUUCACCUGUGUGUUACUGGUUGUAGUGUUGGCCUUUGCUUGUGUAGCAACCGAGUCGACUGACAAUCAAUUUGAUGAGGAAUUGAAUAUCGCCUUCCAAAAACGGAGACCAUGUGUUGAGGUAGGAUACUUCUGUUUUGCCCACAGCCAAUGCUGUCGUGCCGGGGUACAGUCGGUCAGCUCAUGCAGCUGGCAUUUCAAAUGCGAUGAGGCUGGUUAUGGAAAAUAAACCGUACCAACAUGUUCAUCAAGAAUAUGAGAAAAUAAAAAUUUAUGAUUAGAAGAAUCA
Molecule: long non-coding RNA, 402 nt
Organism: Lineus longissimus
Lineage: Eukaryota; Metazoa; Nemertea; Pilidiophora; Heteronemertea; Lineidae
Exons: 4
Source: RefSeq, a predicted model, not a curated record